Molecule: non-coding RNA, 641 nt
Organism: Vigna umbellata (rice bean)
Lineage: Eukaryota; Viridiplantae; Streptophyta; Magnoliopsida; Fabales; Fabaceae
Source: RefSeq, a predicted model, not a curated record
UCUCUCAUUUCCACGACGCUGUUUCCAUCUGCAUCAGCCAUUCUCUAAAUUUCGAUUUCCUACAUCUUCACUCUCUCGAGAGAGAUCUCCUUAUCGCAAGCCUUUCAUCGUCACGAGAGCUGUGCUGGAACCUGCAAUACAGAGAUGUCAUCAACAUCGAACACGACGCCAAUUCUAGUAACGUUGAUGACCCUGCCAGUGGAACAACAUGCGAUGCCUUCCCAACUGUGGCAACAGUCAGACAAAGGUGUCCAGGAAUCUAGCAUUUUUGAAGGGUCAAAGAUGAUCCUGCUCUUGAAUUCUAGUAAUGCUUCUUUGUCCACCACGUGACAUGGCUCCGAAAUUGAGGCGAGGAAAAGAUCCUUUGGCUAUGGUUUUGGCUCCUUCUAGAGAACUUGCACGACAUGUUGAGAAGGAAUUCAAUGAGGCUGCACCUAAUGUACUUUAUUUCAUGCAUAGAGAUGAACAUCAAUGGUUUCUAAAUUAUUUCCAUUUAAACGGCCUUGAUGCUAUUGUAAAGGAGUUUCAUUAUUUAAAUUUAAUGAUAUCACGUUAUGCUUUGUAAAUAGCUAUGCUUUAGAAUUCGAGUUUCUGACAAGAACUCAAGACAAAAAACAGAGAAUGGAAAGGAGUGUUUUUAU